GCCAAGUGUUUGCCUGCUGACCCACCCCACCUGCUCUGUCCUGUUCAAGCCCAGGGAGAGACCCCAGCUUAAUCCGCAGUCUGGGAGGGGACAAGGCAGUGUGCACUGCCUUUGCCCAGGCCAGCUGUAGAUGGAGAAUGAAGAACAGACUCAACAUGGUGUGGAGGCCUAGAAGGGACCAGCUGGUCUGCUGCAUGCGGGCUUCUGACAUCACUGUUGCCUGCGUCCUCAGACCCCACAGCAUGGACUUGGAACAGAUGGGAAAGUGGGGCCGGAGUUCCACACAGUUUGGCAAGUCCCUGCCUCUUUAUGAUGCCACCUCCUGCCUGGAGUACAUGAAGAUCCACAGGCCAGGCAAGCACUGUGCCACUGAGCUAUAUCCCUGGCCCUAAGGGAACAGCUUUCUUUCACUUGCCUGCCUGCUCUCUUGGAGAAUCUCCAGGGAAGAAGUUGAAUCACAUGAAGUUCUUCCUUCCAAUUAGAAGCCUUGGCAUAAAGAAUAUGUUGAACUAUGUUUAAUGAAAAAAAUGAGUCUUUCCAAAUAA
Cavia porcellus (domestic guinea pig) is the source of this 545-nucleotide long non-coding RNA. RefSeq lists it as uncharacterized. NCBI's taxonomy places the organism in Eukaryota, Metazoa, Chordata, Mammalia, Rodentia, Caviidae. The record is from RefSeq and is a predicted model, not a curated record. The transcript is spliced from 3 exons.